CUGUGAGAUCGGUGGUACUUGUUACCAUGAAUCGGAUGCCAAAUCAGCUGCUGAAUCGUGCCUUACGUGUGUGCCAUCAACGAGUCAAACAGAGUUCACCCAGACGGCUGAUACCUGUGUCAUCGAUAAUAAAUGUUAUGAUAACAACGGCUUCGAGAUGGCAACACCUUGUCGGUAUUGCAACACAGACAUGGACAAUACAUCAUGGACAAUGAAGGACGCCACCUGCUUUAUUUCGGGUGGUUGCUAUGACGACAAAGCCGACAAUCCAUUGAACGGCUGUCUGUAUUGUGACCCGGAUGAAUCCCUCAGCGACUGGCAGACCCAUGUGAACA
Dreissena polymorpha is the source of this 335-nucleotide long non-coding RNA. RefSeq lists it as uncharacterized. The transcript is spliced from 3 exons. NCBI's taxonomy places the organism in Eukaryota, Metazoa, Mollusca, Bivalvia, Myida, Dreissenidae. The record is from RefSeq and is a predicted model, not a curated record.